Molecule: non-coding RNA, 83 nt
Organism: Ataeniobius toweri
Lineage: Eukaryota; Metazoa; Chordata; Actinopteri; Cyprinodontiformes; Goodeidae
Source: the annotation of a GenBank genome assembly
GUGGGCUGCACGGUGGCGCGGUGGGUAGCGCUGUUGCCUUGCAAGAAGCAAGAAGGUUCUGGGUUCGAUUCCCGGAGUUUGCA